This 454-nucleotide ribosomal RNA is filed under the name Aristerostoma sp. ATCC 50986. Its description in RNAcentral is "partial Eukaryotic large subunit ribosomal RNA". It matches the Rfam family "Eukaryotic large subunit ribosomal RNA", at positions 2921 to 3392 of the family's 3401-position model. Lineage: Eukaryota; Ciliophora; Colpodea; Cyrtolophosidida; Cyrtolophosididae. The record is from RNAcentral.
GUGUGGGUUUGUCCCCCCGCCAAUAGGGAACGUGAGCUGGGUUUAGACCGUCGUGAGACAGGUUAGUUUUACCCUACUGAUGAAAAGAUAUUGCGACAGUAAUCCAGGUUAGUACGAGAGGAACCCCUGGAUCAGAUAAUUGGUAAAUACGGUUAGCUGAAAAGCUAGUGCCGUGAAGCUAUCAUCUGUCGGAUUAUGACUGAACGCCUCUAAGUCAGAAUCCAUGCUGGAAAAGCAAUGUCUAAUCAAUAAUAAAAGAAAAAGAAUAGGCAUAGCCAUAGUUCAAACACGAGCCCUUCCGACAUUCCAGAAAAGGGGUGGCAGGUAGGCUUGAAUCACAAUUUGAAAUUAUUAUUGACACAAAUCUUCUGUAGACGACUUAACUUAGGACAGGGUAUUGUAAGUUUGGAAGUAGGCUUGUCCUACGACCUGCUGAGAUUCAUCCCUUGUCCUA